Molecule: ribosomal RNA, 405 nt
Filed under: Triticum aestivum (bread wheat)
Lineage: Eukaryota; Viridiplantae; Streptophyta; Magnoliopsida; Poales; Poaceae
Description: partial small subunit ribosomal RNA
Source: RNAcentral
AUGGAACCAAAGGUGUUCAAGGCACUGCUUAGCUUCAUCUACACAGACUCAUUCCCUGUGAUGGACAAGGACAGUGUCAGCAUGGAGGAGGAUGCAAUGGUACAAGCCAUGGAAGAUGGGCAACAAAAAGAGGCAGUUUUAGAGGAUGAAAUGUUGCUGCAAUGGCUUCAACACUUGUUGGUAGCGGCUGACAGAUAUGAUGUACAAAGGCUCAAAUGCAUCUGCGAGAAGCACUUGUCUGAGAACAUAGGUGUGAGCACGGUGAUGUCCGCUCUUGCUUUUGCCGAGCAGCACCACUGCCGGGGAUUGAAGGAGGCGUGCUUCAAGUUUAUCCAAGUCCAGCCCCCCUCGUGCUUGCAAACACUAAUGGCAACUAAUGGCUGGGAUCAUGUAGCUUCGACCUAU